Erinaceus europaeus (western European hedgehog) is the source of this 2626-nucleotide RNA transcript. It is a transcript of the gene named HAUS augmin like complex subunit 7, with no coding region annotated. The transcript is spliced from 12 exons. Lineage: Eukaryota; Metazoa; Chordata; Mammalia; Eulipotyphla; Erinaceidae. The record is from RefSeq and is a predicted model, not a curated record.
UGAGGCCGGAAGGUGGGCGGUGCGCGUCGCGGGCCGCGAAACAUGGCCGGCGUGGGGCUGGGCGCCUGUGGCGGCGCUGGAGGCUUCGAGGACGAGCGAGACGCCGGAGCGCUCAGGGCGGCCGCGGACGUGUUCGCGAAGCUGAAGGAUGUCAACUGCCCUUUGCUGGAGGGCCUCCAUAUCUCAGAACCCACGACCAUUUUGGAACUGCUCUGCAGCCCCUCCAAGUACCGCCUGGAGAUCCUGGAGUGGCUGUGUACCCGGGUCUGUCCCUCUUGGCAGGACAAGUCCGACUCACUGAAGAUGGCCCCAGCUGAGGUGAAGAUCCAAGAGAUGGUGAAGCUGGGCCACGAGCUAAUGCUGUGCGGGCUGGAUGACCACGAGCUCCUGAAGGGCCGGGCCUGUGCCCAGAAGCAGCUGCAGUACUUGGACCAGUUGAUAGAUGCGGUGCGGAGCCAGACCUUCACGUACACCGGCCACACCAGUGUGACUGAGUGCUUUGACGACACUGGGGAGAAGAACGAGGCCUUGCUGGGAGAUCUCUUCUCCAGCCCCCACCUGCAGUCGCUUCUGAGUCCCACGUGUGACCCGUGGCCCUUGAACAUGCAAAGUGAUGAGUGGUCCAGCGCCAGCCCCGCUGAGGAUGUGGAGGAGAGGAAGGUAGCAGAGCUGGCCAGGCAGCUGCAGGAGAGUGCCAACCAGCUGCGGACGCUUCGGGCGGAGGGUGCGCCGCUGGCAGCUGAGAGCAGGAUCGACUCCAGCACCCUGGCCCAGAAGCUGCGCCUGGUUGUCUCGGACUUCCACCAGCUCGUGGUGGCUUUCCUGCAAGUGUACGAUGAUGAGCUGCGUGUGUGCUGCCAGCGCUCCAGCCCCUUCCUGCACCCGUGUGGCCCCGUCGUCCAAGCCGUCUACCAGAUGCUGACUUCCUGCAGCCAGCUCUUGAAAGCCAUCAUGGAGGUUGCUGACACCUCAGUGCAAGCCAUGGAGAUGGUGAAGCAGCAGCAGAGCCAGCAGAUCUGUUGGGGCGGCAGCAGCUACAUGAUGAGUCUAGCGGUUGAGGUUGCUUGAUGUGCUUUGUUGAAGUGUCGUGGAAGUUCUUGCUCCUCCGUUGAAGUGCUGUUCUCUCCUCACGAUGCGCGGCCCUGUCUCCUUGUGGGGUUUGUUGCAGGUCAAUCUCGUCAGUAGGAAAUGUGCUGCUCAGGCCUCCAGCCUCCUUGCCGCUUCUGAGUGUCACUGUGUGCGGACUCCAGCCCCGUGUGUGGAUGCCCACCAAUGCGGAUUCCCAGUGGCUGCGCACUUACCUUUCUCCGGGACAGAAGACGGGCCUCGGCCCCCUCACCCCAGCACUGUGGCCUGCCUGGCCUGCUCUCACUGUUCUUGCCGUCGUCUGAGGCCUUGUCUGGGUCUGAGCUCGUCUGGUGGCCAGAUGAAGGACACGUCUGACUUGUGGGUACUGUGUUCCGUGGCACUUAGAACGUGUUGCCCCACCGUCUUGCAGCCUCUUGAACUCAGAGGCCGUGCCCCCACCCUGCUGUGGUGCCCGGACUCUCAGGCUCUGGCUCCGCUUGGCUCGGCCGUGUCUUCCUAGCAGCCCCCAGCUGCGCCCACUGGUCGCGUCUUCGUGAACACUGCAGGGGCCCUGUCCUGCGGCCCGUGGCCUCCAGUGCUGAAUGUCCUCUAGCAUUUCUCCUUGACUGCCAGCCCUGGGACUCUCCCGCGUGUGUGUGGUUGCCAGUAACGAGAUGCGUUCACCACUCAGUGAUCAGUAAUACCCUGCACGUGGGCCACCUCACAUGUCGUCACGGCCUCUGCUCUGCUCUGCUCUGCUGCCAAGAGGCUGCCGAUCCCCUCCUCAUCUCGGCCCCCCUCGGUCUCCCUCCUCCCUCCCUGAGGGCAGAUCCGGGGCCUGGCUCUGCAGGGCUCCUCAGUCCCCUGUGGAAGGGGAGCUCGGCUUUGGGGUGACUUCCCUCCAGUGCAAAAGGAAGCUGACCGCUCCCCUGGCAGUCAGCAGCCGCAUGCUGGUUGUGUGUACCCACGUCUGAAGGCAGGGUGUGCCUGCGGCAUCCGCUAGACAGCUUGUCCUGUCCUCAUCCGUCAUCACGACGGGGUGGCCCUGCGGUCCAGUGAUCUCCCCAGUGUCCAGAGCCACUGGUGCCACAAAAGCUGCAUCUGACAGGGCCGCCAGCCUGUGAGUGAGCACUGUGGGGACGGGUACCCACCACAGACAGACUGCAGCUUUUCUGGAGUCCAGAGAGGGCUGGUGACCUUAGGCCAAAAGAAGCAGAUGGAGCAAGCUGCGGCCACAAGGCCGCCCUGAGCUCUGCCUGGCAGAGGCACGGUGGCCUGGCAGCCCAGGAGGGUGACAGGGAGCAGCUAGCUGGGGCAGGCCCUCCCUUGCUCCACUGUGAAGCCACCGCCAAGAUGGAAGAGCUGACCCAGAAGUACAAGGUCGUCAGGGACAGGCUGCCCAGGGCCCCGACCAGUCAGCGGCUCUGUGGCCGGCAGCUCGAGGAGCCGGCCUCUGCCUCCGUGUCAGCCUUGGUGCCUGGGGGAGCGGUGGGGGAGGGGGCCGAGGGGAACAGGACCGUGUGAACCCAGAGAGAGGAAACCAUGCUGUCACAAGUUG